Molecule: long non-coding RNA, 4840 nt
Organism: Esox lucius (northern pike)
Lineage: Eukaryota; Metazoa; Chordata; Actinopteri; Esociformes; Esocidae
Exons: 3
Source: RefSeq, a predicted model, not a curated record
GGAGAAGUCAGAAAAACAGACAUCUCUAUCUGUAUCUCAGAUGCUAUAUAGAGACUAUUUCCAGGAGCAAAGAAAAUGUUAUGUUAAUUGCGCUGUGUGGGUUUUGGCAUGUUUGAAGCAUGUGUAUCUUUUUCAAAAACGGUGGUCAGGAUUCAAUCCAAUUCUGCUUUAUUGACCGCUCUCCUUUAAAGACAAUAUAACAUGCUUGCAAAAACUGCAUUCACAAUGAACACUGUAUAUGUCGGCUCAAUCAGGGGGCAGAUAAACUGCAUGUAAUCUCCAGUUAGUAGUGUUUCAGAAAUCCUGAGGCCACCUUAAGAAACCUGUUGGCUGUAAUACCACUAAUAAUUAAAUGAAUAACAAUGAUAAUAGUUUGUUUGUAAUGCAUGUUCACUGCAGUACAACUAGCGCUUAACUGACUGGACAAGAGUAAAACAGAAAACAACAGAACAUCAAACAGAGCAGAUAUAAACAUAAUCACCAAAAUGCCAGGACAAAUCCUUUGAAAGUGUAUCCUAAAUCUAUUCCAACAAUGCAACCCCUUCAUCAAGUGAUCUAUAGUACCAAUCAACCUUUAUAUCUUUCCACAUCUCACCUUGUUAAAGCCCAAACAUCAGAGGCACCACCUCAUAACUAGAAACAUGACAAUUACUUCAAACUUUCACCAAAAAAACAUGACCAAAAUGGACCUCCCGGUGUGUCUCUAUGUUAGUGAUGUAUGUGUGCUUGUGUGUGUACAUGUGUGCGUGCACGCGUGUGGUUGUGGUGUGAGGGAGAAGGUAGGCAGGGGGACAUGCAGCCAAGAUCUGUUCUAGGCUGCUGGGAGAGUGGGCCCCUGCUCUGGCUGGAACCCAUGGCUCUCAUUUGCAGCCUUUAAUAGCCCGCUAUAUUAGACCUCUAAUCUGCCUGAUCCCAAUUUAAUGUGGCUCCCUCAGCCAGACGUGAGACGAAUACUAAACAGACGGCCAUGCGCACACUGCCGAGCUGCAGUCCCCCCGGCCUCAUCACCAGGGUGUGUUUGUGUGUGUGGAAGAGAGAGAGAAAGGGAAGGAGAGAUAGAUCUGAAUAAGUGAACCCGCACACAGAGAAAAGGGGAUAAAGAAGGAGAAGAUUGUGGAGAGGAGUGGAGGAGGGGAUCCGGCGGAUGGGCUGCAUGAGGUCACUGUAGCAUGACUAUUCAAGGAGAUCCUUGCUGAUGAUGGUCCCACACCUGGUGCAAUUUUGUCCAAUAAGCACGGCCCAAUGGGAUCCCUGGACACAGACUGUGAUGGAUGCUUCAACACUGUGAGACUGUGCCACCUGACACACACCCCCAACAGGAGUGCAAAGCCUAAUGUGGGGGAAAAUGCUUCACAGAGGACACGAUACUGUAUAUUAAGGUUAUCUGAAUAUGGACAGAGUUUUAGACAUCCUGUAGUUGCUAUAUACAUUAGAGGACGUCAGGUGUGAGUAUACAGUCGUGUGUCCAUAUCUGCCGUCUUCAUGGUUGGAGCUCCCAACCCACCAGCCCACUCCGGGCACCAAAAAGCAGCCAGGCUCUACCUGCAGUGCGACGGAGUGGAGACUGCCGCUGGAGGAUCGUAACUCGGGCCAUAAAACUGCCAUUUACAGGACGGGGCUGUGAGGGGGCAGUCAUUCAGCACAAAGUCUCUCAUGCACAGACCGAGCCAUGAGAAAACACCCCAACGCAAACAGUCGUCCAUGAAUCACACGUGUGGGAUACAUCACCUAAAGGAUGGGGAAUGGUUAUAAAAAAAACUGUAUCAGCAGUAUCCUAUGUGAAUGAAAGGCACGGGGGUGUCCAAAAUAAAUGGAGCUCUAUACACAGCACAAAAUUAGCACCAUGUUUAGGUUCAAUUCUACAAAUGUAAUUCUACUUCAAUUCUCUCCUUCCAGUUUAUUGUCUUUGAAUUCAGAGAUGUAAUCCUCUGAAUUCUACAUUAUAGCACUGACUUUGUUGUUAGAGAUAUGUAUUGAGAAAGAAAAUGUAGCUACUUACUGAAACUGAGUUAUGUGGCUGUCCCACGUCGCUAUUUUAAGAUAAAUGUACGGUGAGUCAAUGAGAGUGACAAAUAAUAAUCUAAUGUUAGGUCACUUUCAAGAAUUUUAUUACAUUAUCCCUCUCAAACUGUCACAAUUAUUAUUUUGAAUUCCUUUGUUUUCAGACUGAUUGUGUCAUUGUUCAGACAGGCUAGCUAAACAGGGAUACUCGUUAAAAGUAAUAAAAACAAAUUUCAAUACUAUGUGUAUUAAUUUAAUUAACUAGGACUUUAAGUCAAAGUAUUGAACUCCAGUACAAUAUCAUAUGUUAGGCUAGAUGUUUUUAGGGUUAACAGUUUACAAUUGAAUUCUACAGUUAAAUAAUGAUAACAACAAUGAUUGUAAUAUUUAAUUUAUUGAACACAUUUCCUUUGAUCAAUGAGUAUUAUUGAAUUCCAAUUCCAUUACUUGAAUUGUUUAAAUUUUUGAAAUAAAAUUGGAAUUUAACUCAUCCCUGAUUUGCUCCCUAAUCCUUGUUUAAAGAAGUAAUCAGAAGUAGUGCAUGAGAUAAAAGAGUGCCAUUUCAAACACAAACAUGGUAUAAUCUCACCUGAAGGGUUUGUCAUAUAUUGCCAGUAUGGUUCAAAUCCUGAUGUUGAUUGGCUUAUAGCUGUGAUAUAUGUAAGUAAUAAGGCACCUGAGGUUAUGGGGUACGGCCACUAUACCACUGCUAAGCACUGGGUCCAGGCUCUCCGUGAUACUUUGUCCAUAAGAACAGUUCUUAGCCGUGGUAUUUUGGCCAUACACUACACCCCAUAGUAUCAUAUUGCUCACAUAUAUCACAGCUAUCAGCCAAUCAGCAUUCAGGGUUUGAACCACACCAUUUUAAAUUUUAAUUUCAUACAGGUUUGUGGCCUUCCUAUAAUUAGGUAGGGUUGUGUCAUUUAAAUGUCUUGGCUUUUUGAUCUAUACUUAUAAUUGCGCAUACUUAUUUCCUCAGUGGGUUAUUUAUUCUUCAUGAACAAUGGGAGUAAUUCUGUAAACAUCACAAUAAAUCCCUGUGAUACAGAAAGACAAUCUGUCCGGUGUAAGGCAGUCUCCAGGUCAACCAUUCAUAAUGGUUGAUCCUUUGGUUGUAACCCCACUCAGCAAUGCCUGAGAGCGGAAAAACACUUUUCCACUCCGCAACAACAUAUUUGUACAAUCCAAUAUGUGAAACAGGACAAAUACAAGCACCCUGUAUUUCACCUAUAUCAAAACAGUGACAACCCACAAGAAAAGCAACCGUGUUUUCCUAUUCAAUUGUUCUUUGCCACAGUUUUUGUUUGGGAGCUUUUGGCAGCUUACCCAAGAUGAGGGGGGGGGGGGGGCGUGGUUGGCUGUCUCGGCAUGUCCACCGUGUUUGCCAUCCUAAUCAGUCUUACCGUAUGCCCGCCACUAUAUUUGAACCCAGUUGACAAGAACCACGCUGUCUGUCCUCAACAAUCCCCCCCAUCCCACAUAGGACACCCCGUCCACUCACAAUAGCGCGGACAUCUACUCAAGGAAGCAUGCACAGAGACAUACACAAAGAAACACACACACGCGUGCCCACACACACCAACUUGGGUUUAACUGCCGACACCCCCCAUCUAUGCAUGUCAAUGACUACUCCUCUUUUUUCUCGAUGUCUAAUUCUUUUUCUGUCUUGGCAUCCAACCUCCCUUCACUACUUCGCCCCCGUAUUUCUUUCUUGUCAUUUUCACGCCUCCUCCUCGUCCCUCUCAUCCAUCUUUCUCUGUCUACUUAUACUCUCUUUACAUCCUUGUCCAUCCUCCCUCUAUUAGCUGCAAUGCGGGGUAUAUUGGCAAAGCUGGCACAGGGUGCUGUGUCUGCUACACGGAAAAUCUGGGUAUGUGUUACAUGGUUAAAAGUGUAUGUGUGUGGUGUGUGCAUGUCUGCCUUAAUGCUUGUAUUCUGUCUCAGCCACUGUCAGAUUGUAGAAAUCAAGUGGGCCCAUGGGAGUUAGAGGCAGAUGGUGUCACCUUCCUUCCAUCAGAGCGUGCUACUGUCAUUGAUCCAGUUUAUAGCCACUUCUUUCAUGUUACUCAUUUCAAGCUAGUUCUCUGUAUUCGCCCAUUUAAACUGUCAAGUCAGGUUUAAUCUGGCUAAUUUCCCUCACAAAUAUUGUGUAGCUCUUCCUCUUUGAAAAAGUAAAAUAGCAAGGAACCUCAUUAAAAAGAAAGACUAACCUUACCAAACAUAAACUCCUCUAACUCCUCUUUUUAACGCAAUUUAACAGAAGCCCGCUGACCUCUUGAAGGGAAGCCUUUUAAAGGAACAUGGGUGACUAGCUUUUGCACCAUCUAACAGCACUAGCCAUUAGGAUGGCAGGAAUGGCUGGGAGCCGAUAUGGCGUCGACAGCUUCACAGCGAGGAAGGUAAACAGACUUUAUGGUGCAUUACCAAACCCCAGGAACAGUAUGGUGCCCACAAUCCCUGUGCUCUGCCAAACUAAAAGCAAUCCCGCCGUGUACGAUACGGGAUGCCUUAACAGUGCUGAAUUACCAAAAGGGCAAGCAGGGCGUGUGUUCUGGGGCCCAAUUCCUCCAGACUCUUUAUUUUAAUGUUUUACAUUAGGGCUCGUACAUAGCAUAUCUGCAACACACAGCAGAUAGCAGAAUGUGAAGCGUCACCAAAGUUUCUGUCAUGAAAGAAACAGAUUUGAUGUACAAAAUGCAAAUAUUGCAAAUAACCCAGUGCCUUUGUCUCACCCCGGUGCCUCAGAGUUUUCUCUCAUGUACAAACACAUGUAUGAUGCGAUUCCUUGCUUCCAUGUAAAUCUGUCUGUCCACUGGAAUUUAAUGUGAUCACAACUGAA